This 209-nucleotide ribosomal RNA is filed under the name uncultured bacterium. RNAcentral describes it as "partial 16S ribosomal RNA". It matches the Rfam family "Bacterial small subunit ribosomal RNA", at positions 568 to 774 of the family's 1533-position model. The record is from RNAcentral.
CUCGUAGGCGGUUCGGUAAGUCGGGUGUGAAAACUCUGGGCUCAACCCAGAGAGGCCACUCGAUACUGCUGUGACUAGAGUGCGGGUAGGGGAGCGGGGAAUUCAUGGUGUAGCGGUGAAAUGCGCAGAUAUCAUGAGGAACACCAGUGGCGAAGGCGCCGCUCUGGGCCGUAACUGACGCUGAGGAGCGAAAGCAUGGGUAGCAAACA